Ictalurus punctatus (channel catfish) is the source of this 1447-nucleotide long non-coding RNA. Lineage: Eukaryota; Metazoa; Chordata; Actinopteri; Siluriformes; Ictaluridae. The record is from Ensembl.
GGCAAGAUGGUCACAGAGAACCCAGACAAUCUGGAUCAAUGCAUGGACAGAGCUGUGUGCUGGAUGAACAGGAGAUUAACCUGCUGCCUGUGUCUAUCCAAAAAGGUAUUUCAGUGUCCCAGAGCUGUUUACUGAUAAGAAUGAGAAAUCAUCUAUAUAGACUGUUAGCAAAAAUAUGGCUUGUGUCUGUCCCUCAGUCUUAUGUGAAGCUAGUAUGAAGAAACAUAGAUGGAUGAGUGAACUGUUUGCAGUGAAGUUGGUCACAUCCAUACUGAUGGUGUGUAUUUUGCCUGUAGAGGUCGUCUACUCCAUGCUGCUAAGAUCUGCUGACUGUGUGUUGGAGAUGGUGUCUGAUCUUUUGUGGCUGUGGGAAGUCACCUCGCAGAUGAAAGCAUUAGUGUGGAUGAAACUGUCCUGUAAAAGCAUACCACCACCGAAGGUUUCAACUCUACAUCCUUAGUCUAUCUAACCAGGUCAUGGGCAUUCCAGUCUCAUCAAUGUCCACACCUGUUCCUGCUCAGGCUCAUUUUGUAACUUUUCUUUCACAUUUUUUGGAUCAUGUGUGACAAUGCAAAUGUUCUAGAAAAGGAACAACAAAAAAAGAAACAUUUACAAAUGUACACACGGAUUCUUGUUAAUAGAGAGUUUUUUUUUUCAUAGUAAGGUAAUUGUAAUGACAAAUAAAGGAAUAAUUGUUCUACAGAAUAUUACACUUGAAUAAGUUACACAUGCUACUCCUGAGAUACUAGUGAUCCUGACCCGUUCUGCUCUCCGGAACUACCUGAUCCAUUCUGAUGCCCUACUUCUGGUUGGGGUUCUCAUCACUUGGAAAUCACUCACUGUUCCUGAGGAUGGCCCCACAUGGACAUCCUGAAGAUACGGGUGCAUCUCAAAAAAUGUUAAUAUUGUGGAAAAGUAAAUUUUUUCCAUAAUUUAAUUCAAAAAGGGGAACUUUCAUAUAUUCUGCAUUCAUUACACAUAAAAGGAAAUAUUUCAAGCCUUUUUUGUUUGUUUGUUUUAAUCUUGAUGAUUACAGCUUACAGCUCAUGGAAAUCAAAAAUCCAGUAUCUCAAAAUGUUAGAAUAAUAUUGAAUUGAAUUUAAUUGAAUAAAAUUUUAAUAGAGAAAAUGUAAUGUUUACAAUAAGAGUAACAAAAUAGCACCAAGAGUGUUUUAUAUAAACAGUAAAACCACAGUAAAUCAAAGCUUUAAUAUUCACACAGUACCAUGCGUCAUUAAAACUGUGUUUUACAGUACUUGAAUUUGUAAUUUCAUGUCAGAGGAAACAACUACUCCACAAAUACCAAUAAAUACCACCAGUAGUCACGUGAUUGUAUCAGUAUAAUCUUUUAGAACUACACGUUGAAGGAUUAUGGUGAUGUCUUUGCUUUGAUUAAAAAUAUUUUAAUGAUUUCACCUAUGCUCAUCAAUAUGUGUAACUAAUAUUU